UUAGGUCACCCUAUGGGUGCCGGUCAGCAGCUCAGCGACUCCCUUCCGCGGGAGCUCCAUCCUGGCCAGCCCGGUUGGCUGCUUCUGCACCCUUUCCUCCUCCAACCACAGCAAACUCGACUGUCUCGCCAUCCCCUUCACUGCGCAGGCAUUUCCGUGGAUUUGUCUUCCUGGUGGCCGUCUGAUGUACAAAUACAUCCAUUCCGAUUCAUAAAUCCAUAUCCAUUUCUGACAUCGAACCACUUCACAGUGCCAAGGACGUUGGUGGCGAGAACUUUCUCGGGAGUCUUCACUGCCGGCGGGGGCGGCGUCCCUGCCCAGGUUCCCGGACUCCAGGGCCGGGGCUGCGCCGCCGACCGCCGGGCUCUGGGGCGCGGGAAUCUAUCUUUUUAGCUUUUGCUACUUGAGGAUUUUCUCGUUGCCACUUCCUGGCAUAGCAGAAAAUAAAGCAGGUGGUACCUACCAGAGAACAGAAAGACUAAGGGAGGCCUGGGGAAGAAAGCUCCUCACAACCACAGGGGGAAGCAGCAUUUGAAAGAGACCACCUGGUUCCAGAGCACAGUUAUAUGUUGGAAAGACUGGAUCGUCAAUUCUUGGCCAAGAAGAAGAAGUGUUAAUGAGAUUGGAAGAAGAUACUAUAAUUUGGAUGCAUGACUGCUAAACUGAUCAUCAUUAAUGAGAAGUAUCAAAGUACAGGUUAAAAGAAAAGGGCUUUAUCCAAGUGACCUUUGAGGAAAUUCAAAUGCUGCCUUUGGAUGGAGAAAUCCUUAUUAUUUCUGCAGUUUCUGCUUUUUCUGCUGCAGAGAGCUUCUCAGACUCUCUCUUGGGUGCCUCCUGUGAACUCUACAGAUGUCCCCUGGGUCAGAUAUCUGCAUGUUGCUGGGUUGCUUUGCUUUGUGGCAUCUCUAAUGUCUGUUUUGAAAAGGUUGAAAAGGAGAAGAAUCACAAACACCCUAGAAGUUGAAAACAUCAUCUGUUUUCUAAACUGUAUAUAGCUGAGCUUUCCCUGACCUCUAGGUGAAGCAAUGUCUCUGACUUUUGUAGGUGGUGAUUUCCAGCUCUCUGAAUACACUGGGCUGGUGUGUAACCCAGACUCCUUUCCCUAUGUGAGCAUUGGGAUCAGUCUCUAGCUGUGAAAAGUUGAAUCUGGUUCAGUAUUUCUGUGAGCUCUUGUGAUUUUAUAGCUUCUACUCAUGGUUGCCCUUUAAAUCCUCUCUUAGUUUAUAGCCCUGACAUCUCCCUUCUAUUCUGACUUUGACUAUAGCUAUUUAAAUUGUAUGGUGAGAGAAUAAAUCAUCUCCCAGCUAGCUGAGGCCUGGUAGCCUGAUAGGGCUUGUCACUGAUAUAUCAGUGAUUUAGAAAGAGGAGUCCCAAGAAUUUGAAUUUGGUGGGACAUUUAUUACAUAUCAUCCACAUACUUCUUUCAAUUAAGUUUUAUUGCCUUUUCUAUAAGAGAGAAAAUGUGCUAGGCAAUCAUUGGUGGCUCAUACUUAUAAUCCUAACUACUCAGGAAGCUGAGAUCUGAGGACUGUGAUUCAAAAACAGGCAGUCAAAGAAAACUUCAAGAGAUUCUUACCUCCAAUUAGCCAAACAAAACAAAACAAAACAAAAAACAGAAUUAGGAAUAUGGCUCAAGUAGUAAAGCUCCAGCCUUGAGUAAAAAAGCCAAAUGAUACUAUCUAUAUGAAGUAGAAGCUCUUGUACCACAACAAAGGAAGGAGGGAGGAAGAAAGGGGGAGAGGGGCGAGAGAGACAGAGACAGAGAGACAGAAAGAGAAAGAGAGACAGAGAAAUCAAACCUCUUUUAUCUCACUUUUUGGAAUUUAAGUAUGGAAAAUCUAAGUCCAUUACAGAGGAGAUCUUCUUUUCUUGUAAAUUUUUCCCUAAGUCAUUUUUAAGGACUCUGGACCCUGGGUUAAUUAAUCAAUAACUUUUUAGAAUUUUGAUAUUUCGAGCUCUGACUUAGCCAAGUAAGAUUACAUAACAUAGCUUUAAAACUUAAUUUUUAAUGUAAUUUUUAAAUGCUCAGGAAUUUAGGGCCUACAUUCUACAUGUAGAGAAAUAGAGCCACAGUAGAGAAAUAGAGCCAACGUAGAUUCAUGUAGAAAAAAAAUAAUCCUGCUCUUUUUCAUCUCAACCAUUAGGCUUCUUUCCUUUUUUUUCUUUGAGUCUUUUUUAAUUUGCUUUUUUGUGCAGGGUCUCACCCAAGCUGGCCUGAAAUUGUCCUAUAGCUCAGAUAGUCCUCAAACUUGCAAUCUUCCUGCCUUCGUCUCCCAAAUGCUGAGUAUAUAUUGACUAUUUCCUUGACUUAGAUUUCUUUUUGGAUCAGAGUGAUCUUUUACGUGCUUUACUUCAGUUUGAGAGUCUUCAGAGAGGAUAGAAUGCCCACUUAUACUUUUGAUUUAACAGAUAUGCUAACAAUGGUCUUCAUCAAAUUGUGAAUAGUUGCCAUUACUAGUAAGCCACUUGACAGCUCAGCGGGAUACUGAAUCUGAUUUGGAAAAAAAACAUUUCAGGAGACUCUAGUACAGGAUCCUACUGUGAUCAUAAGAAGCCUAUUCUGCAUAGUCUAAAGGGCCAGGACAGGCCCUGGAGGAGGAUAUACCUCUCAUGUGAACGUCACAAAGUCCAGCAGAGAUCAGGUGACUCUGGGGCAGCUGUUAAGCAAUCACAUUGAAUAUGCUAAAUCUUGAGACAUAAGACCCUUGAUUAAAUGGUAGGGACUUGUCAAAAGAUAAAGAUACUAAAAUUAGAAUGUAAAAUACAGGUAAAUUAAAAAGUUGGAGGCAGCCAACUCUUUCAAGGCUAUAUGAAGAAUAAAUAACAAUUUUUCCCUUUUUUUCUUUCUUAUUUUAUGUUUUUUAAGACAAGAUUUCACUAUGUAGCCCAAGUUGGCCUGGAAAUUAUGAUCCUUCUGUUUUUAUCUCUCAAGCUCUAGGAUUACAGGCAUGUGCUACCAUGCCCAGCUACUAUAUAUAUUUCAAUAAAAUGGAAAGAGGAGUAUAACCUGAAAACUGGGAGUAGGAAAAAGAUGCAUUUAAUAAAAAUGAUCUAUAAAACCUGGAACAAACAUUCCACUCAAGAAACUUUCCUAUUAGCAUCAAAUAUGUAAGAGAAGUGCUUGCUAUAUAUAUUCACCAUUAUACUGGAAGGCCUAGCCAGAAUAAUCAUACAAGAAGCAGUUGUGAAAUGAUUAGAAAGAAGAAAUAAAACUACAGCUAUCAAUAAAUGAUGUGGAAAUCAAAAAUUCUAAUAAAUUAUUAUAAUAAGAGAUCAAGAAAGCUUAACAGGUUAAAUCACUUUUUAAAUGAUCAGCCUCAAACAUUAAAUGUCACAAAAAGAUACAAAAUUCACAGUAGCACAUAAAAAUGGAGAAAAUAUGGAAAAUACUUUAUGUAGAAAAUUAUAAAACUUUAUAUUGCAAGGUAUUGUGCAGAACUAAAUAAAUUAUUUUUAUGAACAAAAACAUA
Molecule: long non-coding RNA, 3470 nt
Organism: Dipodomys spectabilis (banner-tailed kangaroo rat)
Lineage: Eukaryota; Metazoa; Chordata; Mammalia; Rodentia; Heteromyidae
Exons: 3
Source: RefSeq, a predicted model, not a curated record